UCGUUUAUCAACUGAGAAGAAAGCAAUCGAGAACUUUGAGGCUUUAACAUGGAGGUGUGUCUGCUAGUGAUUCUCGUAUUUUCAGGUGUGUUUGCUGACAGCAUUACGCCAAAUGACAAGGAUACGCUCAAUAGAGAAGGAGAGUCUGUGACACUGAGCUGCACUUAUGAUACAAGCAGCACUUCUGUUAUGCUUUACUGGUACAGACAGUAUCCUGAUAGAGAACCACAGUUUUUACUGAGAAAAGGUGCUCGAUCAUGGAGCGGCUCUGAAGAUAUACCAGAUCGCUUUCAGUCGUCUACAUCCCAAACAUCCACUGAUCUCACUAUUAAGAGUGUAACUCUGUCAGAUUCAGCUCUCUAUUACUGUGCUCUGAGAGUAGGAGCCCAGUGA
This is a non-coding RNA of Puntigrus tetrazona (Sumatra barb), 393 nucleotides long. The record is from the annotation of a RefSeq genome assembly. NCBI's taxonomy places the organism in Eukaryota, Metazoa, Chordata, Actinopteri, Cypriniformes, Cyprinidae.